Long non-coding RNA from Sycon ciliatum, 374 nucleotides. RefSeq lists it as uncharacterized. Lineage: Eukaryota; Metazoa; Porifera; Calcarea; Leucosolenida; Sycettidae. The record is from RefSeq and is a predicted model, not a curated record. The transcript has 3 exons.
UGUAUGAGCUGUUUCGGAUAUUUCGUCUCCUAGAUCCUGGCCUGGCUUAUUUCGUUUCGGCGCUGCUGAGACCUCCUUUCGCGGAAUAUUACUCAAUAUCGACAGUGUGCGAAGAACGCGAGUUCACCUUCUUGACGAAAAUCGUGGACUAACAGUUCGAAGUCAUUGAACUACUUCCAAAAGUUGUAUCGACAUCAACAGGGUUACGAUUUCAGUGCAAUAUGGUGCAGGAUGACCUUAUCACGAUAACCCAUGAUUAUAAACCAUUAUAAACACAGAAUCAACAAAAACAUCUGCGACACGCACCUGGUUACAUUUCUCAAAUAAAUCUGAUCGAGGGUGGGGAAAUCUGAAAUAUCUGAAAGGCAAGACAA